UGCCCCUACAUAUGAUGCCA
This 20-nucleotide non-coding RNA is filed under the name Arabidopsis thaliana (thale cress). Lineage: Eukaryota; Viridiplantae; Streptophyta; Magnoliopsida; Brassicales; Brassicaceae. The record is from RNAcentral.